AUCCAAGGAAGGCAGCAGGCGCGCAAAUUACCCACUCCCGGCACGGGGAGGUAGUGACGAAAAAUAACAAUACGGGACUCUUUUGAGACCCCGUAAUUGGAAUGAGUACACUCUAAAUCCUUUAACGAGGAUCUAUUGGAGGGCAAGUCUGGUGCCAGCAGCCGCGGUAAUUCCAGCUCCAAUAGCGUAUAUUAAAGUUGUUGCGGUUAAAAAGCUCGUAGUUGGAUCUCAGUUCCAGACGGGUGGUCCGCCAACCGGUGGUUACUGCCUGUUCUGAACAGCCAGCCGGUUUCUCUUGAUGAUCUUCACCGGUUGUCUUGGGUGACCGGCAAGUUUACUUUGAAAAAAUUAGAGUGCUCAAAGCAGGCGUGACGCCUGAAUAAUGGUGCAUGGAAUAAUGGAAUAGGACCUCGGUUCUAUUUUGUUGGUUUUCGGAACACGAGGUAAUGAUUAAGAGGGACAGACGGGGGCAUUCGUAUUGCGACGCUAGAGGUGAAAUUCUUGGACCGUCGCAAGACGAACUACUGCGAAAGCAUUUGCCAAGAAUGUUUCCAUUAAUCAAGAACGAAAGUUAGAGGUUCGAAGGCGAUCAGAUACCGCCCUAGUUCUAACCAUAAACGAUGCCAGCCAGCGAUCCGGCUGUGUUCCUCAAAUGACACGCCGGGCAGCUUCCGGGAAACCAAAGCUUUUGGGUUCCGGGGGAAGUAUGGUUGCAAAGCUGAAACUUAAAGGAAUUGACGGAAGGGCACCACCAGGAAUGGAGCCUGCGGCUUAAUUUGACUCAACACGGGAAAACUUACCCGGCCCGGACACAGGAAGGAUUGACAGAUUAAGAGCUCUUUCUUGAUUCAGUGGGUGGUGGUGCAUGGCCGUUCUUAGUUGGUGGAGCGAUUUGUCUGGUUAAUUCCGAUAACGAACGAGACUCUAGCCUACUAAAUAGGCGUUCCGAUCAAUUAAGUCGGACGUUCUUCUUAGAGGGACAAGCGGCGUUUAGCCGCACGAGACAGAGCAAUAACAGGUCUGUGAUGCCCUUAGAUGUCCGGGGCCGCACGCGCGCUACACUGAAGGAAUCAGCGUGUGCUUUCCCUGUCCGGUAGGACUGGGUAACCCGUUAAACCUCCUUCGUGAUAGGGAUAGGGGCUUGUAAUUAUUCCCCUUGAACGAGGAAUUCCCAGUAAGCACGAGUCAUAAGCUCGUGUUGAUUACGUCCCUGCCCUUUGUACACACCGCCCGUCGCUACUACCGAUUGAAUGAUUUAGUGAGGUCUUCGGACUGGCGCUCGGAGCGGUCUUUUGGCCGCUCCGACGUGCCGGAAAGAUGACCAAACUUGAUCAUUUAGAGGAAGUAAA
This 1349-nucleotide ribosomal RNA is filed under the name cf. Lamania sp. Johor MR357. RNAcentral describes it as "SSU rRNA". It matches the Rfam family "Eukaryotic small subunit ribosomal RNA", at positions 414 to 1786 of the family's 1831-position model. Lineage: Eukaryota; Metazoa; Arthropoda; Arachnida; Araneae; Tetrablemmidae. The record is from RNAcentral.